GCAGAACAAAUAUUUCGGCCGAUCGCGCGAUCAUUCUGCAGUCCGAAACAAGAGAAAUCACGCACUGAACUGAUUUUUAUUACCGGCCGCGAAAUGCAGAACAAAUAUUUCGGCCGAUCGCGUCAUCGUUCUGCAGUCCGAAACAAAAGAAAUCACGCACUGAACUCAGUUGGUGGGAACUUAUCAAGCAACUGACUGCAAAAAGUAGAUUCGCAACGAUCGUAUUGAUAGCUAUUCCAGCGGAACAUUCUCGCCAUUGCCUUCAGAAUUACAAGUAAAAUGUUACGCUACAGAAAAUUUAUUUGCAUCUGUGGUGUCUGCAAUGAUUACUUGGUGGCUCGUAUGUAACUCACGUGUAGAGAUGCCGCAAAUUAUUCGAUUACUUCGAUUAAUCGAUUCAUCGUUGUGAUUAGGUUGUGAUAAUCGAUUAAUUUUGAAUCGAUUACUAUACCCAAUAUUGUCAGUUUUGCUGGUAACAACACUUUUUAAUCACCUUAAAAAUCGUCGCCAAUAUCUUUAAUUUGAAUCUGUGUUAGUUCAAAGCCAAACCUUGAAAAUAUGCAUGAAAAAAAAGUACUCAAUUUCGGGAAAUAAUGUGAUUAUUGAAAUCAAACAAUUUUGUUCACAGUUGAUUUGACAGAUCUUAUGGGCAUUUUUGCUGGCGACGAUUUCGGCGACGAUUUGCUUUGCGACGAUUUCAAAUCGUCGCGGCCGAUAAUUUGGGAAAUAGAUAAUAUCAUUCGCAACGAUGUCGACGGUAUUGGUUACAGAGAGGGUUGAUACUGAGAUUUUGAAGAAAAAUAUCAAUAAUGUACUAAAGACACAACGUAAAAUUGCAAAUAAUAUACAUUUCAUAUAGCUACGCAGUCCUACGUCACCUUUGGGUACAACUCAAUGCAGCUUUUUUCAGUUCACCCAGAAGCCUGACUUGAUAUCGAUAUGGAUUUCAGGUAGCCUAGACGAAUAUUUGCCAUUAUGACAAAUAGUGUACUGAUAGCUUUAGAACAAACAUUUGAUCCGGGUACACGUACAAAUGUAUGUCCAUUUUUAAGGCACAGCACUACGAACGCUUGAAAAUGAAUAACUCAUUUACCUGAGUUGAACAAAACCUUGCCGGUUCGCCUUGUCCAGUUAGUUCAUUUCCUUCUCUCGUUAAACCAGAAGCAGUCGUGUUUCCCUUUUUUUGUGAAAAUGUUCCGGACAGACAACAUGGCCUCAUUGCGAUUCCAAUUGCCCUGCGAAUAUUCCUCUGAGAAUGGAACCUAGCGUUCCGUCGGACGGGAAUAUCUCGCAGAGGCAAUAUCACGUUUCGAAAAUACUUUGUUGUACGUAACCACGCUGGGAAAAAUAACUAAGAAUACAAACAUUAAACAGGCCGAUGGAUUUUAUUACCCGACCAUCAGGCAUCAACGUUGGACUCCUUUUGUCGAAUGGGCCAUUGUUCAAAAGCUUCCUGUAUAUGUAUUUCAAUGUUGAAUAAAGUAACUUUAUAAGCUUUAAACUAA
Armigeres subalbatus is the source of this 1505-nucleotide long non-coding RNA. RefSeq lists it as uncharacterized. NCBI's taxonomy places the organism in Eukaryota, Metazoa, Arthropoda, Insecta, Diptera, Culicidae. The transcript has 2 exons. The record is from RefSeq and is a predicted model, not a curated record.